CUAGCACUCUCACAGAUCUUCCCCUUGGCAGUGGGGCCAAGAUUUGGUAGCUGGUGCUGAAAGAAAGCCCUUGACUGCAUCCUUGCCCUGCUACUGUACCAGUGGCAGCUGUCACUCAGUGGGACAUAG
Molecule: small nucleolar RNA, 129 nt
Filed under: Chinchilla lanigera (long-tailed chinchilla)
Lineage: Eukaryota; Metazoa; Chordata; Mammalia; Rodentia; Chinchillidae
Description: Small nucleolar RNA SNORA30/SNORA37 family (ENSCLAG00000018933.1)
Rfam family: Small nucleolar RNA SNORA30/SNORA37 family
About the family: The members of this family belong to the H/ACA class of snoRNAs that guide the sites of modification of uridines to pseudouridines. This family includes human ACA30 (SNORA30), ACA37 (SNORA37) and the mouse homolog MBI-26. Both ACA37 and ACA30 are predicted to guide the pseudouridylation of residue U4643 of 28S rRNA.
Source: Rfam by way of RNAcentral